CCCCCCGUCAGGACAAGCUGGCGGCGUGCCUAAUACAUGCAAGUCGAGCGAACAGAGAAGGAGCUUGCUCCUUUGACGUUAGCGGCGGACGGGUGAGUAACACGUGGGCAACCUACCUUAUAGUUUGGGAUAACUCCGGGAAACCGGGGCUAAUACCGAAUAAUCUAUUUUACUUCAUGGUGAAAUACUGAAAGACGGUUUCGGCUGUCGCUAUAAGAUGGGCCCGCGGCGCAUUAGCUAGUUGGUGAGGUAACGGCUCACCAAGGCGACGAUGCGUAGCCGACCUGAGAGGGUGAUCGGCCACACUGGGACUGAGACACGGCCCAGACUCCUACGGGAGGCAGCAGUAGGGAAUCUUCCACAAUGGGCGAAAGCCUGAUGGAGCAACGCCGCGUGAGUGAAGAAGGUUUUCGGAUCGUAAAACUCUGUUGUAAGGGAAGAACAAGUACAGUAGUAACUGGCUGUACCUUGACGGUACCUUAUUAGAAAGCCACGGCUAACUACGUGCCAGCAGCCGCGGUAAUACGUAGGUGGCAAGCGUUGUCCGGAAUUAUUGGGCGUAAAGCGCGCGCAGGCGGUCCUUUAAGUCUGAUGUGAAAGCCCACGGCUCAACCGUGGAGGGUCAUUGGAAACU
Molecule: ribosomal RNA, 634 nt
Filed under: Lysinibacillus xylanilyticus
Lineage: Bacteria; Bacillati; Bacillota; Bacilli; Caryophanales; Bacillaceae
Description: bacterial SSU rRNA
Rfam family: Bacterial small subunit ribosomal RNA
Source: RNAcentral